RNAcentral lists this long non-coding RNA (308 nucleotides) under Nicotiana benthamiana. RNAcentral describes it as "long non-coding RNA (NBEN_LNC032740)". Lineage: Eukaryota; Viridiplantae; Streptophyta; Magnoliopsida; Solanales; Solanaceae. The record is from RNAcentral.
UAACUUGUAAAUAACUGAUUGGCGUUAUCGUAAAAUAGGGAGGGGUUAUGCAUGCUUAGUUAAAAUAAUGGGUAGAAAACAUGCUUAUAGAGUUUUACUUACUUGUUUGUGCAAUAGAUAUCAUGUAUAGGACAUACAUCUCAUAUAGUAGCAAUCCUGUUUUAGACUCUUUACUUUCAGCCUAUUGUCAUACUCAUUUCGUAAUCACGACUAGCCAUUGACUAAUGAAUAACUCUUAGAACUACUGGUGCAUUUUCAUUGGCAUUUAAAGACCAUGUUUUAGGAGUUUACGUGCAUUAGACACCAUG